This 301-nucleotide ribosomal RNA is filed under the name uncultured bacterium. Its description in RNAcentral is "partial 16S ribosomal RNA". It matches the Rfam family "Bacterial small subunit ribosomal RNA", at positions 509 to 807 of the family's 1533-position model. The record is from RNAcentral.
CAGUCGCCACGGUAAAACGGAGGAUCCGAGCGUUAUCCGGAUUUAUUGGGUUUAAAGGGUGCGUAGGCGGCCUGUUAAGUCAGGGGUGAAAGACGGUGGCUCAACCAUCGCAGUGCCCUUGAUACUGAUGGGCUUGAAUGUACUAGAGGUAGGCGGAAUGAGACAAGUAGCGGUGAAAUGCAUAGAUAUGUCACAGAACACCGAUUGCGAAGGCAGCUUACUAUGGUACUAUUGACGCUGAGGCACGAAAGCGUGGGGAUCGAACAGGAUUAGAUACCCCUGUAGUCCCUGUCUCUUAUAC